GGAAAGGUGCUCGAGUGGCUGAAGAGGCACGCCUGGAAAGCGUGUAUUCCCCUAAAGGGAAUCGGGGGUUCGAAUCCCCCUCUUUCCG
Prevotella sp. CAG:732 is the source of this 88-nucleotide transfer RNA. It matches the Rfam family "tRNA". From Rfam's summary of the family: Transfer RNA (tRNA) molecules are approximately 80 nucleotides in length. Their secondary structure includes four short double-helical elements and three loops (D, anti-codon, and T loops). Further hydrogen bonds mediate the characteristic L-shaped molecular structure. tRNAs have two regions of fundamental functional importance: the anti-codon, which is responsible for specific mRNA codon recognition, and the 3' end, to which the tRNAs corresponding amino acid is attached (by aminoacyl-tRNA synthetases). tRNAs cope with the degeneracy of the genetic code in two manners: having more than one tRNA (with a specific anti-codon) for a particular amino acid; and 'wobble' base-pairing, i.e. permitting non-standard base-pairing at the 3rd anti-codon position. Lineage: Bacteria; Pseudomonadati; Bacteroidota; Bacteroidia; Bacteroidales; Prevotellaceae. The record is from Rfam.